CGCAGGAAAUGGAGGACGCGGGGCCGGGAGGGCACCCGGGCCCCCUCAGCGCGGAGGGCACCGCCGGACACCCGCGCGGGGCUCCCACGCGCUACAGCCCAAAGACACGAGAGGAGAAAAGUUGUUUUGAGUCACUUAACAAAAUUUACACUCGGACUCUGUGCGUACGCAAAGCUCAGGAAUAGUGUUCCUGUUCUGAGGAUGUUUACAUAAACCCUCUCCUUUGUGCCUGGGAACUUUGCAAAUGAAUUAGUGACCAGUUAUUGCCCCGAACGCACUCCCACGUUCGUGGCCUGGCAAGUACCACACACCAGCAGUGUCCAGCAUCAGUUGUCAUCCUUUUGUUCCAAGUCACACCGUUUAUGUUUAAAAGUCUUACAAGAAGGACCCGCCGAGCCCCGGGCUCAGGAAUAAAAUGUGGGGCUGAUCGUGGAGAUGCUUUGGACUGACCUUUCCUCAAGCUGUAAAUCUAAUAUUAUAGCACUAUAGUUAAGUUUCUUUUAUUAGACUAUGAGUAAUAACGUAUGUCUUUUCCUCGUGUUAAGUGCAGCUCAUUUAAGAUGGACUUUACGUGAGUUUAUUUGGGGUUUGUGCGCUGUAUUUGCGUGUCUGUCUGGUGUGUUUAUAAUGAGCUGUAUUUUCCACAGGGCUACCCACUGUGCAUCAGCACGGAGGUGUGAAAAGGGGACCUCUCAGACCUAUCUCUGCAUAUUACUCUAUAAUGUCUGACAAACUUAUGCCAGGUCUUGUUCUGGCAUUUGUUUCACAGCACUGUAAAAAAUAUCAGCAUCACCCACAAGCUUUGAACCUGUAAUAAUAUUUUUUUCCAUUCAUUACUUUUUUUGUCUUUACUGUCAUGGUUCAGCAUUAUUUUCGUGGCCUUGGGUUGCCUCAGAUACAUUACAAUCCUGUUCACAAGUAGUUGCACUUUUAGUUUUCGUGGCUAGAUAUACAGGGAAGAAAAUAUGUGUAGCUAAGCAAGUGCUCAGAGCUUCUAAAUCAUGACUGUGUCUGCACUGCAUUAAAAAAACCCAAUCAAACAACAGAUCAAUGUCACUCAGAAAGGCUACAGAGACAAAAUCACGUAUCCUCAAUUUUUUCAGCAAAUCUUUUUUUAAAGUACUAGAACCUGGUCUCUCUAUGAGUCAGGAAUUUCAGACCAACAAACCAAUUGUAAUACAACUUUUCUAACUUUUCUUGUGUUUUGCUAGUUGUACUUCUUGAACUGUCCAUGAGGCCAGGAAACUCCAAACUUAACUUUGGUGGAACCUGUAGACUUUCUGUCAGCAAAAGUUUUUGUGACUGAUAGAGAUGGUAAAUUGCCCUGAACAAAUCAAAACUGUUUAUUUAGAAGAACUUCGAAUCAUACACUGGACUCUCCCUUACUUGAAAUGGAAAGAGGGUGCAACUAUGAGUGAAAAUGCUUUGCUCCAGAAGAGUUACUGCUGGUGGCACAUCAAUUAAUCACCCUGCCAAAGGGAACUGCCUCAAAUACAGCUCCAGUUCUUAUAAUACAGGAUAUUUUUAGCUGUGUUUCGUUAUAAUGGAGGAAAUUCUCCUCCAGCAGAUAGAGAGUCUUCUAACAGUGUUUAGUUUGUGUACUUGCCCCAAGAAUUAAUUUGGCUUGUUGUAUCUUAGUAAAGCUUGCAAUUCUUGUUUUUCAGGUUCCUCUGAUAUUUAGGCAUAGUCUUGCAGUUAGAGAACAAAAGUGAGAAGCAUGACAUCUAUUCCUGACUCAGUUACUUCCUAGAGAAAACAAAGGAGACAGAGAACAAGAUACCCACGUUUAGAGUCAGGCAAGAAGAACUCCUCUGCUAAUGCCUGUGUAUGGAGAUAAAACCUGGAUGUGAAGGCACCACGAGGUCAUACCCAGCAUAACCAAUGACCAGUGUACCAGGCUGAGUGUGGCAUUUUACCCAAAAUACUGCAGAGGAUUUGGGAGAAUGAGCUUUCUAAAUUGAAGCAGGGGUCCUGUGGGUUGAAAUAAACCCUGAUAAUACAGGCUUGAGCACUGUUAUAGCCCAAAGUGGCAGAAGCAAGCAAUGAGAAAGAAAGAUGUUCCUUCCUGUGUGCUCUGUGGCUUGACCAGCUGCAUAAGGAACAGAAAGGGAGAGUCACCAUCCACUCUGGUGCUCAAGCACAGCCAGGGGAAGACAAUGUGCCCAGUAAAAAGGGACUCUCUCUUGGAAGAGAGCAGGAACAGGCCUGCCUGAAGCACAGCUUAAAUAUUAGAUGAGUUUUUAAUACAAAAUAGGAAGUGAUUCUUGAAGAUCAUAAAGACUGAUGGAGGAGUCAGAGUAAAUCCAAGUCUUUUGGCAUACGUGGAAAUGCUGUUUGAAUUUCUUACCCACUGCAUGAGCAACGAGACUUCACACGUCUAAGGCAUUUUUUUCCCCAGUGUUUCGUGAUUAUUUGACUGACUUUACAACAUGUUGGGUAUGGAAUCAUAGAAUUGUUAGGCUGGAAAAGACCUUCAAGAUCAUCGAGUCCAAGCACUCCCCAGCACUGCCAAGGCCACCAUUAACCCAUGUCCCCAGGUGCCACAUCCACAGGAGAAGAUAAACAGGUUCCUUGAGUAGAAACAAAGAUCUGCCUAAAAUGUGCCAGUGUUUCCACUGUGGCCAGUGUUUCAAUUCUAGUUCUUUUAGGAAGACUUUACAAGAAUAGUAAAAAACAGGAACAACCUAUAAUGUAAUUUUUAAGAGACCUGUCAGUGUAGUUUCUGUUUCAAUGCCAGCUAGAGAUGGGGGCAUAAAAUGUUUCUAUAGCCUGCAAAAGGGGACUCCCAAUACACUGCAUGAGGAAUUUAGGCAUCACUGGUGUAUUUGGCACAAAAUAUCAAAUUGUGUGUAUGGACUUCACAGCUGCAGACACCUGGUUUUCAAGACAUCUCUGAUUCCAAGUUGAUGGUAUGACAUAUAGUAUAUAUGACUGGCUUGUUUUUAUAUAAACACUGUAAAAGUAGAGGGAGUCACCUAAGAGAAGGAUGGUAUUUGUUAUUCAAUAAAAUGGAGUAAAA
This is a long non-coding RNA of Lepidothrix coronata (blue-crowned manakin), 3019 nucleotides long. RefSeq lists it as uncharacterized. The transcript has 5 exons. Lineage: Eukaryota; Metazoa; Chordata; Aves; Passeriformes; Pipridae. The record is from RefSeq and is a predicted model, not a curated record.